UUGGAGGGCAAGUCUGGUGCCAGCAGCCGCGGUAAUUCCAGCUCCAAUAGCGUAUAUUAAAGUUGUUGCAGUUAAAAAGCUCGUAGUUGAAUUUCGGGGUUAGUAGGCUGGUCAUGCCUCUGGUAUGUACUGGUCUCACUGAUUCCUCCUUCCUGAUGAACCGUAAUGCCAUUAAUUUGGUGUUGCGGGGAAUUUGGACUGUUACUUUGAAAAAAUUAGAGUGUUUAAAGCAAGCUAACGCUUGAAUACAUUAGCAUGGAAUAAUGAAAUAGGACGUUCGAUCCUAUUUUGUUGGUUUCUAGGAUUGACGUAAUGAUUAAUAGGGAUAGUUGGGGGCAUUAGUAUUCAAUUGUCAGAGGUGAAAUUCUUGGAUUUAUUGAAGACUAACUACUGCGAAAGCAUUUGCCAAGGAUGUUUUCAUUAAUCAAGAACGAAAGUUAGGGGAUCGAAGACGAUCAGAUACCGUCGUAGUCUUAACCAUAAACUAUGCCGACUAGGGAUCGGAUGAUGUUAAUUUUUUAAUGACUCAUUCGCGCCUUACGGGAAACAAU
Molecule: ribosomal RNA, 551 nt
Filed under: uncultured Rhizophagus
Lineage: Eukaryota; Fungi; Glomeromycota; Glomeromycetes; Glomerales; Glomeraceae
Description: SSU rRNA
Rfam family: Eukaryotic small subunit ribosomal RNA
Source: RNAcentral